Molecule: non-coding RNA, 129 nt
Organism: Brachypodium distachyon (stiff brome)
Lineage: Eukaryota; Viridiplantae; Streptophyta; Magnoliopsida; Poales; Poaceae
Source: Rfam
AGCGUACUCCCUCUGUCCCAUAUUAAAAAUUGUCGAAAUAUUACAUGUAUCUAGACGUUUAUUUAGGCAUAGAUACAUCCAUAUUUGGACAAAUUUGAGACAAUUAAUAUGGGACAGAGGGAGUAUAGA